RNAcentral lists this ribosomal RNA (1499 nucleotides) under uncultured Bordetella sp. Its description in RNAcentral is "partial 16S-23S ribosomal RNA intergenic spacer". It matches the Rfam family "Bacterial small subunit ribosomal RNA". The record is from RNAcentral. Lineage: Bacteria; Pseudomonadati; Pseudomonadota; Betaproteobacteria; Burkholderiales; Alcaligenaceae.
GUUCGAUCAUGGCUCAGAUUGAACGCUGGCUGGAUACUUUACACAUGCAAGUCGAACGGCACGGACUUCGGUCUGGUGGCGAGUGGCGAACGGGUGAGUAAUGUAUCGGAACGUGCCUAGUAGCGGGGAUAACUACGCGAAAGCGUAGCUAAUACCGCAUACAGCCCUUCGGGGAAAGCGGGGGACCUUCGGGCCUCGCACUAUUAGAGCGGCCGAUAUCGAUUAGCUAAUGGUGGGGUAACGGCUCACUAAGGCGACGAUCCGUAGCUGGUUUGAGAGGACGACCAGCCACACUGGGACUGAGACACGGCCCAGACUCCUACGGGAGGCAGCAGUGGGGAAUUUUGGACAAUGGGGGAAACCCCGAUCCGCGCCAUCCGGCGUGUGCGAUGAAGGCCUUCGGGUUGUAAAGCACUUUUGGCAGGAAAGAAAAUGGCACGGAUAAUACCCCGUGCGACUGACGGUACCUGCAGAAUAAGCACCGCCAAUCCACAGCCAGCAGCCGCGGUAGAUACGUAGGCAAGCGUUAAUCGGAAUUACCGGGCGUAAAGCGUGCGCAGGCGGCUCCGGAAAGAAAGAUGUGGAAAUCCCAGAGCUUAACUUUUUGAACUGCAUUUUUAACUACCGAGCUAGAGUGUGUCAGGGAGGGAGGUGGAAUUCCGCGUGUAGCAGUGAAAUGCGUAGAUAUGCGCGGAGGAACACCGAUGGCGAAGGCAGCUCUGGGAUAACACCGACGCUCAUGCACGAAAGCGUGGGGAGCAAACAGGAUUAGAUACUCCCGGCAGUAGUCCACGCCCUAAACGAUGUCAACUAGCUGUUGGGGCUCUUCGGGCCUGGUGGCGCAGCUAACGGGUGCGAAGUUGACCGCCUGGGGAGUACGGUCGCAAGAUUGUGUGCAAACCUAAAGGAAUUGACGGGGACCCGCACAAGCGGUGGAUGAUGUGGACUUCAAUUCGAUGCAACGCGAAAAACCUUUACCUACCCUUGACAUGUCUGGAAUCCCGAAGAGAUUUGGGAGAUAAGCCAAAAGAGAACCGAACACAGGUGCUGCAUGGUUGUCGUCAGCUCGUGUCGAGAUGUUGCCAGUUAAGUCCCAACGAGCGCAACCCCUUGUCAUUAGUUACGAAAGGGCAACUCAUCGAGACUUGUUGCGACAAACCGGAGGAAGGUGGGGAUGACGUCAAGUCUCAUGGCCCUUAUGGGUAGGGCUUCGACACGUCAAGCAAUGGUCGGGACAGGUGGUCGCCAACCCGGCGAGGGGGAGCCAAUCCCAGAAACCCGAUCGUAGUCCGGAUCGCAGUCUGCAACUCGACUGCGUGAAGUUUGGAAUCGCUAGUAAUCGCGGAUCAGCAUGUCGCGGUGAAUACGUUCCCGGGUCUUGUACACACCGCCCGUCACACCACAUGGGAGUGGGCUUUACCAGAAGUAGUUAGCCUAACCGUAAGGAGUGGCGAUUACCAUGGUAGGAUUCAUGACUGGGGUGAAGUCAACAAGGUAGC